UCCGGUUUGUCACCGGCAGUCUCAUUAGAGUGCCCAACUGAAUGUAGCAACUAAUGACAAGGGUUGCGCUCGUUGCGGGACUUAACCCAACAUCUCACGACACGAGCUGACGACAGCCAUGCAGCACCUGUGUUCCAAUUCCCUUUCGGGCACCCCCGACUUUCAUCGGGGUUCUGGACAUGUCAAGGGUAGGUAAGGUUUUUCGCGUUGCAUCGAAUUAAUCCACAUCAUCCACCGCUUGUGCGGGUCCCCGUCAAUUCCUUUGAGUUUUAAUCUUGCGACCGUACUCCCCAGGCGGUCAACUUCACGCGUUAGCUGCGUUACCAAAGAAUUGCUUCUCCGACAACUAGUUGACAUCGUUUAGGGCGUGGACUAC
RNAcentral lists this unclassified non-coding RNA (376 nucleotides) under uncultured Gammaproteobacteria bacterium. Its description in RNAcentral is "contains 16S-23S intergenic spacer region". Lineage: Bacteria; Pseudomonadati; Pseudomonadota; Gammaproteobacteria. The record is from RNAcentral.